RNAcentral lists this long non-coding RNA (317 nucleotides) under Amborella trichopoda. RNAcentral's name for it is "long non-coding RNA (ATRI_LNC002613)". The record is from RNAcentral. Lineage: Eukaryota; Viridiplantae; Streptophyta; Magnoliopsida; Amborellales; Amborellaceae.
AGCUUCUGGGAAAGCUUCGUAGACUCGGCAAGUCGCUUCUGAUCUUAAGCUUCUUUGUGAUAGUUGUAAGGCAUUCUGGUAGGAAUGCCGACCACUACGCCGGCUUAGAAAGCGAGCGAGUCACUUCGGCUAGCAAGAUUCUCCCAGAUGAAGCGACUCGCUCGCUUCCCUUCGCCUAUCUAUCGGCAACGCUUGGAAGCCGUAAGGCUCCCUUACUUCACUGAACUGAUUCACGUAGGUCCAAACCAGCUGGCUCAUUUUUCCUUUAUGAGAUCUCAGCUCUUCGGAAUGGUUGGAGAGAGCCCCGCCUCCUCUUG